CCAAUAGCGUAUAUUAAAGUUGUUGCAGUUAAAAAGCUCGUAGUUGAAUUUCGGGAUCAGCGCGUCGGUCGUGCCUCCGGUAUGCACUGGCGCCGCUGGUUUCUCCCUUCUAAGGAACCGUGAUGUCAUUAAAUUGGUGUCGCGGGAAAUCAGGACUGUCACUUUGAAAAAAUUAGAGUGUUUAAAGCGGGCACGCGCUUGAAUACAUUAGCAUGGAAUAACGAAAUAGGACGUUCGAUCUUAUUUUGUUGGUUUCUAGGAUUGACGUAAUGAUUAAUAGGGAUAGUUGUGGGCAUUAGUAUUCAAUUGUCAGAGGUGAAAUUCUUGGAUUUAUUGAAGACUAACUACUGCGAAAGCAUUUGCCAAGGAUGUUUUCAUUAAUCAAGAACGAAAGUUAGGGGAUCGAAGACGAUCAGAUACCGUCGUAGUCUUAACCAUAAACUAUGCCGACUAGGGAUCGGAUGAUGUUAAUUUUAUAAUGACUCAUUCGGCGCCUUACG
Molecule: ribosomal RNA, 500 nt
Filed under: uncultured Glomeromycotina
Lineage: Eukaryota; Fungi; Glomeromycota
Description: partial small subunit ribosomal RNA
Rfam family: Eukaryotic small subunit ribosomal RNA
Source: RNAcentral